Oncorhynchus tshawytscha (Chinook salmon) is the source of this 555-nucleotide long non-coding RNA. The record is from Ensembl. Lineage: Eukaryota; Metazoa; Chordata; Actinopteri; Salmoniformes; Salmonidae.
CACCAUUGUUCUUACAUAAUAUAACCAUAUACAAUUUCAGCAGCACAUCUUAGAGUGAUUUACUGUGCCACAGUAAUGGUGCGUAGGUGAAAUCACUGGGGAAGCCAAGACAGGUGUAGGUCAUGACAGGAUUUUUAAAAAGCCAUAUUACAACCUGUGUGUUGUGAUAAUUGCAUGAUUUGCUCUAUAACCUGUUAGUUCAUAUGCCUUGACACAGUGAUAUAUAGGUCUGAGGCCGAGACAAUAAGAAGAUACAGUGAUAUAUAGGUCUGAGGCCGAGACAAUAAGAAGAUACAGUGAUAUAUAGGUCUGAGGCCGAGACAAUAAGAAGAUACAGUGAUAUAUAGGUCUGAGGCCGAGACAAUAAGAAGAUACAGUGAUAUAUAGGUCUGAGGCCGAGACAAUAAGAAGAUACAGUGAUAUAUAGGUCUGAGGCCGAGACAAUAAGAAGAUACAGUGAUAUAUAGGUCUGAGGCCGAGACAAUAAGAAGAUACAUUGAUAUAUAGGUCUGAACCGAGACAAUAAGAAGAUACAGUGAUAUAUAGGUCUGAGGC